This is a long non-coding RNA of Taeniopygia guttata (zebra finch), 969 nucleotides long. RefSeq lists it as uncharacterized. NCBI's taxonomy places the organism in Eukaryota, Metazoa, Chordata, Aves, Passeriformes, Estrildidae. The record is from RefSeq and is a predicted model, not a curated record.
CAGGACCCAGGCCCAGGAGGUGUUGAACAUUGCUGAUGAGGAAUCAGGUACCUUCAACAUUAUGUGACUGCAGAGUGUGCUCUGAAGCAGCUGAAACAAUAUUUGAAGGAAGAAUGUGAAAGCAGUUUGAUCCACUGGGUAUCAGGCAGCAUGGUUGCUGUGCUAAUGAAAAUUUGGAACACCGUUGCAAACUGGAGUGUUGGCAGAAGCAGGAAUUUCUCUCUGCUGUUUAUGAGGUAUAUAAAAAGGUCAGUGUUUUUUUAUAGAUUUUUAGGCUUAGCAAUAUAUUUUUUAAUGAUUUACUUUUUCUUAUUUUGUAACAGCCAUGAUUUUUUGUUCUGGAUAUGGAAUGUAACUUUUUUGAUUGCCUGGCGUGUUGUGGGAAAAUGAAUUGUGUUUCAAAAUUCCAGACACACUUUGACUGUGUUAUUAAGAAAACAUUGCUCCUGGAAUAAUAAAUGGUAGGGCUAUUUUAAGCAGUUUUGUUACAUUUUCUAAAUCUGCAAAAGAAUCAGAACAAUAAAAGAAUGAUCAAGGCUGGAUUUUUUUUUUUUUUUUUUAACAGGCAGGUCAUCAGUUGGCUUAUUGGCAAAACUCCAUUCAUUAUAAUGGACCUACAUGAAUUUCCAGAAGUUGCAGAAUUGGGCAACAGCUUCUUAAGUGUUUCAGAAUCAUUGUCUUUGAUCUGGCACUGCCAACAGUACCAAUUACAAGAUGAUUUUUGUGAUGCUAAUCUUCCCCUCCAUAGAUAAAGGGUAAUAAGUGCUCUUUUGGGCCACUGGACAAAUGAUAUUGGCCAAAAUGAGCCAAUAUAAGAUAGUAAAGUGAGAUUCUGAAUGUGCUAAAAAUACACUGAGCCCUAUAUCAAAUACAGAUACUUUGUUUUUCAACUGAAAUUCAGAUGUUUUAAGUGCAAUAUUCAGUUGUGAAAGGGAUGAGGUCUUCAUUUGAAAAAAAUUGAAGUCUCAG